Sebastes umbrosus (honeycomb rockfish) is the source of this 1423-nucleotide long non-coding RNA. RefSeq lists it as uncharacterized. The transcript is spliced from 3 exons. The record is from RefSeq and is a predicted model, not a curated record. Lineage: Eukaryota; Metazoa; Chordata; Actinopteri; Perciformes; Sebastidae.
GUUGAUACGCAGACAGCGUCACACACUAACUUGUGUUGGAACUUGGACAAAAAAACUAAAGAACUUCACUUACUGAACACGUACAGAGACGAUAAAAACCGGGGAGAGACUCAAGAAAACAGAAAGAACUGCAAUGUCUGUCCACAGAAAGCAGAUGCUGCAGCCUCCACCUCAGUGACCCGCCUGCCGGCCCGCCUGCCUUUACACCGGGUAUCUCUGUAUGUGUCAUGAUCCAGGGUUAGCCCCCUUGGGGGGGGGAUGAGCUCCCCCGAGGCCAGACCCUGACCGGUCCCUCAGGGGCCGAGCCCGGCACCGAGCCAGUCUGCCACACCAGCGACCGGCUGGGAGGGGGGACAAAGGGGGUGGAGGUGGUGGUGGUGGGGGGGUAACAGAUGCCUGCUGAAGCCACAGGGGACCUCCCUGAAAGCAUCCUCCUCUUCCUCCUCCUCCUCCUGCUCCUCCUCCUCCUCCUCCUCCUCCAUCCUGCUCUCCUGCAACUGGUGGCGUCCAGCUUCACCCUCAGUGAUACAUAUCACCACUGUCUGUCUGUCAUGUGACCUCUGUGGUCGGGGGUCGGGGGUGGCACUCACUUUCACCUCUGAGCUGUGCAGACUCUCGGUCUGGUUACGUCUGCUGCUAAAUAAACCAGGAGCAGACCAUGUGUGGGGAAUCUUCUUGUUGGUUUUAUAUCUAUUAAAUUGGAGUGAAAUUAAACUCUUCAUUGUUUUAUGGGGGAACCCCGAAGGAAUCCCCCAAGAAGUCCUGGUUGAAACCCACAAAGAGCCUUAAUAUCAGUCUCAAUUUCACUUUAUACUGAACAUCUACAACCAGAGACUGAAGUGGAAAAGUGCUUCUCUUAUUCACAUGUGCUAUUUAUUCCUUAUUUCUUUAAGCAUGUUAUCCUGCGUCAGACAUAAUUAGUUGUGAUUUUAUUGCUUUAUUAUCAUACUUGGGCGAUGCAUCUUCUAUGGUAGGACUAUAAUACUCCAUUUAUGGAGUUACAUUAUAGGGUUAAUGUGGUGUGUUUAAGGUCUUUCCUGUAGUAUAGUCGGGUAUCAUUCAGGUCAGGAUGCUCCUACAUAUCAUACAGAGACACGUCCUGAAUUUAUAAAGUGAAUAAAACAUAGGAGAUAUUGGGUUUGGGGCUCCUACAUCAUUUUGGACCGUUAUUAUUAUUACUAGUCAAAGGAUUAUUUUAUUAUUUUUCACAGCUUUCGUCUGAACGUUUAAUUCUUCUCUAAAUGUUUUCCCUAAAAGAGCAGGUUAAGACAACUUUUAAAUAAUAAUAACUUUUAAAUAAUGUUUCAUUAAUUAUAUUUUUUCACAAAUAAAAAAAAAGGUUACGACAAAGAGUUCACUAAUUAUUUUACAAAUAGGAUGUGAACAUUGUGUUGAUAAAUGACAGCACCUUUACUCAACUCUC